This is a long non-coding RNA of Adelges cooleyi (spruce gall adelgid), 1448 nucleotides long. RefSeq lists it as uncharacterized. The record is from RefSeq and is a predicted model, not a curated record. The transcript is spliced from 5 exons. NCBI's taxonomy places the organism in Eukaryota, Metazoa, Arthropoda, Insecta, Hemiptera, Adelgidae.
AUAUGCACAGCAGAUGACAAACAAUAUACGCUCGACGCCGUCAUUUGUACACGUUACGAUAUUCUCCUUAUAUACUUGCACACACGUUAAUAAUGAUAUAUAAAAAUAUAAAAUGUGUACUUAUGUGUGUAAGAAAACGGAGACGUCGUCGUUCACACGCAUUGAGCUUAAUUGAAAUAAUUAGUCGAGGUCGAGCCGUAUGCGAUGCGCAGUCUUUCGGUUAAAUAUUCAUCGUCGGGAUAUGGACCAAUUGAGUGUAUAUAAUUCUACUCAUGCAUAUAUAGAUACCGUUUUUGCCAUCGCAGAAUCAUACAUCCCCACGGUCGGAAUUGAAUUUGUAUCCAACCCUAAAAGGAAGAUCAUGCACAUUCACUUAAGACCUAUGAGAGUUUUUUAAUUAUUAUUUAAUCAAAACGCGGAGGUGUGGUUUCGUUUGAUGAAACGCCGUUCAUGCGUUAUACCUUUAAAGCGAAUGGUGAAGAAACGCCUGAAACGACGAUGCGGAUUUCAAACAGUGCUCGUGUAGAAUAAAAACUGCAACGGCGUUUAAUAUGUAACCGGAUUGUGGUCAGGAAAGGCGUAACCCGAAUAACUGCUGUUCCGAUUAGAAUAUAUCAUAAGUACCGCCAACGACUUAAAAACGUUUCAAGGGAUACGUUGAAGAUUUUCACAAAUUAUUUUAUUUUAAUUAUCUAUAUUUUUAAUUGUAUUAACAUGGCCAGACGCUCAUUUACAACGUUGCUUUGAAUUAAAUUACAUUAAGAAAUUUGAACAUAAUAUUAUACUCACUAUAGUUGAUGUAAUGGGCCAAAUGUAUCUAAUUUAAAAUGACAAAGACAUUCUAACCGCCUGAUUGCUGUUUGUCCAACUUUAAAAUUUAAGUGCAGUUUAGGUAAUUUAUAUUUUCAGUAGUGUUAAGCUACCGUUAAAUUUUAAGUACUCUUAUAUUGCCUACUAUAGAAUAUUCUUGGGGAUUAUCGAGAGUAAACUGUAUUAAUAGUCUAAUUGAAAGAUAAAACUUGUGAUACUGGAAAUUUGGAUAAUUUUACAGACGAUUAUAAAAACAAUGUUUAAAGUUUCAAUUUUUAGACAUCGUUUUAUUUUUAAGAUCCAAGCGAUUGAUGUGACCUCAGAUCUGUGAUAUGCUAAGUAAAACAGGCUAUUUACCUAACACCAAUCUCAAUUUUUCAGAUUUUUUUGUAAUACACAAACUCUGAACUUCUGCCAUAGGUUGGUCAUAAUAAUCAUAAUUCAAAUAAUACUAUAUACAAAAUCUUGUAUAUUGUUGUUUAUAAUUUGUCAAACUAGAUAAUUAUUGUUAUUAUUGAUACAAAUAUGUGUUUUACCAAAGAUGUCAUCUAAAAUAAUAACAUAUCCUUACAACGAAUUAUACCGGUUUCUCCAUUUUAAAAGAUUAGAAAACUCAUUAGAUAAUUGACUUUAUUAAU